This 329-nucleotide ribosomal RNA is filed under the name uncultured eukaryote. RNAcentral describes it as "partial 18S ribosomal RNA". It matches the Rfam family "Eukaryotic small subunit ribosomal RNA", at positions 1470 to 1796 of the family's 1831-position model. The record is from RNAcentral.
CCCUUAGAUGUUCUGGGCCGCACGCGCGCUACACUGAUGCAUUCAACGAGUCUAAAACCUGCUCUGAUAGGGGUGGGUAAUCUUUUGAAUGUGCAUCGUGAUUGGGAUAGAUGAUUGCAAUUUUUCAUCUUCAACGAGGAAUGCCUAGUAAACGCAAGUCAUCAGCUUGCAUUGAUUACGUCCCUGCCCUUUGUACAUACCGCCCGUCGCUCCUACCGAUUGAAUGAUCCGAUGAAUAUCAUGGAUUGAGGAUGCAAGUAGGUUAGCCUAUCUUCAUCUUCGAGAAGUGAAGUAAAUCUUAUCAUUUAGAGGAAGGAGAAGUCGUAACA